GCCGGGCGUGGUGGCAGGCGCCUGUAGUCCCAGCUACUCAGGAGGUUGAGGCAGGAGAAUGGCGUGAACCCAGGAAGCGGAGCUUGCAGUGAGCCGAGAUUGUGCUACUGCACUCCAGCCUGGGCAACAGAGGGAGACUCUGUCUCAAAAAAAAAAAAAAAUUAAUUUAAAAGAAGUUUUUUUUGAGACUGAGUUUCACUCUUGUUGCCCAGGCUGGAGUCCAGUGGCUCGUUCUCCACUCACUGCAACCUCUGCCUCCUAGGUUCAAGCGAUUCUCCUGCCUCA
Molecule: small RNA, 285 nt
Filed under: Pan troglodytes (chimpanzee)
Lineage: Eukaryota; Metazoa; Chordata; Mammalia; Primates; Hominidae
Source: RNAcentral